This 468-nucleotide ribosomal RNA is filed under the name uncultured bacterium. Its description in RNAcentral is "partial 16S ribosomal RNA". It matches the Rfam family "Bacterial small subunit ribosomal RNA", at positions 28 to 507 of the family's 1533-position model. The record is from RNAcentral.
GACGAACGCUGGCGGCGUGCUUAACACAUGCAAGUCGAACGGAAAGGCCCUGCUUUUGUGGGGUGCUCGAGUGGCGAACGGGUGAGUAACACGUGAGUAACCUGCCCUUGACUUUGGGAUAACUUCAGGAAACUGGGGCUAAUACCGGAUAGGAGCUCCUGCUGCAUGGUGGGGGUUGGAAAGUUUCGGCGGUUGGGGAUGGACUCGCGGCUUAUCAGCCUGUUGGUGGGGUAGUGGCUUACCAAGGCUUUGACGGGUAGCCGGCCUGAGAGGGUGACCGGCCACAUUGGGACUGAGAUACGGCCCAGACUCCUACGGGAGGCAGCAGUGGGGAAUAUUGCUCAAUGGGCGGAAGCCUGAUGCAGCAACGCCGCGUGCGGGAUGACGGCCUUCGGGUUGUAAACCGCUUUCGCCUGUGACGAAGCGUGAGUGACGGUAAUGGGUAAAGAAGCACCGGCUAACUACGUG